UAUGACUUAACCCUAAUCCUCCCAUAUAAAUCCAAGCCGUCUCUAACAUAUUUCCACUUUCCACAAUCUCAUUUCACUCUCAAACACACCUAAAAUCAUCAAGAACUUCUCUAUUUUGGGCAUAAAGUUCAAGUGCUCUAAGGUAACUUUAGUGCUCUACCCUCAAUGACUCGUCUGUGACAACUGGCCCAAAACCGGAAACAAGUUGGAUCUUGGGCGCUGGUGUUAUUUUCAAGAAGUAAAUUUCAAGUUUAGAUGUCAUCCACUUUUGUUUUGUACCAUAACUUGAGGGUUUUGGUUGAAACUUAAAUGACUUGUGUUAAUAACAUUUCAAU
Helianthus annuus (common sunflower) is the source of this 335-nucleotide long non-coding RNA. RefSeq lists it as uncharacterized. The transcript has 3 exons. Lineage: Eukaryota; Viridiplantae; Streptophyta; Magnoliopsida; Asterales; Asteraceae. The record is from RefSeq and is a predicted model, not a curated record.